GCUUGAUAAGCCGGUUGUGAAAGCCCCGGGCUCAACCUGGGAACGGCAUCCGGAACUGUCAGGCUAGAGUGCAGGAGAGGAAGGUAGAAUUCCCGGUGUAGCGGUGAAAUGCGUAGAGAUCGGGAGGAAUACCAGUGGCGAAGGCGGCCUUCUGGACUGACACUGACGCUGAGGUGCGAAAGCGUGGGUAGCAAACAGGAUUAGAUACCCUGGUAGUCCACGCCGUAAACGAUGUCGACUAGCCGUUGGGGUCCUCGAGACCUUUGUGGCGCAGUUAACGCGAUAAGUCGACCGCCUGGGGAGUACGGCCGCAAGGUUAAAACUCAAAUGAAUUGACGGGGGCCCGCACAAGCGGUGGAGCAUGUGGUUUAAUUCGAUGCAACGCGAAGAACCUUACCUACUCUUGACAUCGAGCGAACUUUCCAGAGAUGGAUUGGUGCCUUCGGGAACGCUCAGACAGGUGCUGCAUGGCCGUCGUCAGCUCGUGUUGUGAGAUGUUGGGUUAAGUCCCGUAACGAGCGCAACCCUUGUCCCUAUUUGCCAGCGAUUCGGUCGGGAACUCUAGGGAGACUGCCGGUGACAAACCGGAGGAAGGUGGGGACGACGUCAGGUCAUCAUGGCCCUUACGAGUAGGGCUACACACGUGCUACAAUGGUCGGUACAAUGGGCUGCAAUCUCGCGAGAGGGAGCGAAUCUCAUAAAGCCGACCUCAGUUCGGAUCGGAG
RNAcentral lists this ribosomal RNA (725 nucleotides) under uncultured Halomonadaceae bacterium. RNAcentral describes it as "bacterial SSU rRNA". It matches the Rfam family "Bacterial small subunit ribosomal RNA", at positions 578 to 1303 of the family's 1533-position model. The record is from RNAcentral. Lineage: Bacteria; Pseudomonadati; Pseudomonadota; Gammaproteobacteria; Oceanospirillales; Halomonadaceae.